Molecule: non-coding RNA, 198 nt
Organism: Oryza meridionalis
Lineage: Eukaryota; Viridiplantae; Streptophyta; Magnoliopsida; Poales; Poaceae
Source: Rfam
AAUAAAUACAGUUUUAUAAUAUUUAUGUCUAACGUUUGACCGUUCGUUUUAUUUGAAAAAUUUUCAUGAUUAGUAAUUUUAUUAUUAUUUGAUGAUAAAACAUGAAUACUACUUUAUGCAUGACUAUUUUUUUCACAAAUUUUUAAAAUAAAACGGAUGGUUAAACGUUAGAUACGAAUAUCCAUAACUGUACUUAUU